RNAcentral lists this ribosomal RNA (468 nucleotides) under uncultured bacterium. Its description in RNAcentral is "partial 16S ribosomal RNA". It matches the Rfam family "Bacterial small subunit ribosomal RNA", at positions 28 to 507 of the family's 1533-position model. The record is from RNAcentral.
GACGAACGCUGACGGCGUGCUUAACACAUGCAAGUCUAACUGAACUUCCCUGCUUUUGUCGGGUGCUCGAGUGGCGAGCAGAUGAGUAACCCGUCAGUAACCUGCCCUUUACUUUGGGAUAUCUUCAUGCCACUGGUGCUAAUACCAGGUAGUCGCUCCUGCUUCAUGGUUGUGUUUGGAAAGUUACGGCGGUUGGGGCUGUACUCUCGGCUUAUCAGCUUGGUGGUGGGGUAGUGGGUUACCAAGGCUUUGACGGGUAGCCGGCCUGCGAGGGUGACAGGCCAAAUUGGGAAUGAGAUACGGCCCAGACUCCUACGGGAGGGAGGAGGGGGGAAUAUUGCAAAAAGGGAGGAAGACUGAUGCAGAAACACUGCGUGCGGGAUAACGGGCUUCGGGUAGUAAAAAGUGUUCGCAGGUGACGAGGAAAAAAUGACGGUAAUGGGUAAAGAAGCAACGGCUAACUACGUG